RNAcentral lists this ribosomal RNA (690 nucleotides) under uncultured Bacteroidales bacterium. Its description in RNAcentral is "bacterial SSU rRNA". It matches the Rfam family "Bacterial small subunit ribosomal RNA", at positions 32 to 715 of the family's 1533-position model. Lineage: Bacteria; Pseudomonadati; Bacteroidota; Bacteroidia; Bacteroidales. The record is from RNAcentral.
AACGCUAGCUACAGGCUUAACACAUGCAAGUCGAGGGGCAGCGCAGUGCAGCAAUGCAUGGGCGGCGACCGGCGCACGGGUGCGUAACGCGUAUCCAACCUUCCCGUUACUCUUGGAUAGCCUUCCGAAAGGGAGAUUAAUACAGGAUGGUGUUGAAAUUCCGCAUGUUAUUUCAACUAAAGAUUUAUCGGUAACGGAUGGGGAUGCGUGACAUUAGAUAGAUGGCGGGGUAACGGCCCACCAUGUCCACGAUGUCUAGGGGUUCUGAGAGGAAGGUCCCCCACACUGGAACUGAGACACGGUCCAGACUCCUACGGGAGGCAGCAGUGAGGAAUAUUGGUCAAUGGCCGGAAGGCUGAACCAGCCAAGUAGCGUGAAGGAUGAAGGUUCUAUGGAUUGUAAACUUCUUUUGUGAGGGAAUAAAACCUCCCACGUGUGGGAGCUUGUAUGUACCUUAUGAAUAAGCAUCGGCUAACUCCGUGCCAGCAGCCGCGGUAAUACGGAGGAUGCGAGCGUUAUCCGGAUUUAUUGGGUUUAAAGGGAGCGUAGACGGGAGAUUAAGUCAGCUGUGAAAGUUUGAGGCCCAACCUUAAAAUUGCAGUUGAUACUGGUUUCCUUGAGUGCGGUUGAGGUGUGUGGAAUUCGUGGUGUAGCGGUGAAAUGCUUAGAUAUCACGAAGAACUCCGAUUG